Molecule: ribosomal RNA, 253 nt
Filed under: uncultured bacterium
Lineage: Bacteria
Description: partial 16S ribosomal RNA
Rfam family: Bacterial small subunit ribosomal RNA
Source: RNAcentral
UACGUAGGGGGCUAGCGUUGUCCGGAUUUAUUGGGCGUAAAGAGCGUGUAGGCGGCCAUGUAGGUCCGGUGUGAAAACUCGAGGCUUAACCUCGAGAUGUCAUCGGAAACCAUUUGGCUAGAGUCCGGAAGAGGAGAGUGGAAUUCCUGAUGUAGCGGUGAAAUGCGCAGAUAUCAGGAAGAACACCAAUGGCGAAAGCAGCUCUCUGGGACGGUACUGACGCUGAGACGCGAAAGCGUGGGGAGCGAACAGG